UACGUAGGGGGCAAGCGUUGUCCGGAAUUAUUGGGCGUAAAGCGCUCGCAGGCGGUCUUUUAAGUCUGAUGUGAAAGCCCACGGCUUAACCGUGGAGGGUCAUUGGAAACUGGAGGACUUGAGUGCAGAAGAGGAGAGUGGAAUUCCACGUGUAGCGGUGAAAUGCGUAGAGAUGUGGAGGAACACCAGUGGCGAAGGCGACUCUCUGGUCUGUAACUGACGCUGAGGAGCGAAAGCGUGGGGAGCGAACAGG
RNAcentral lists this ribosomal RNA (253 nucleotides) under uncultured bacterium. RNAcentral's name for it is "partial 16S ribosomal RNA". It matches the Rfam family "Bacterial small subunit ribosomal RNA", at positions 524 to 776 of the family's 1533-position model. The record is from RNAcentral.